AUUUUUACAUUAUUUUGAAAUAACUGCCUGCUGUGUAGAUGCAGACUAAGUUAUUUCAAAAUAACACUACUUAUUUCAAAAUAAUGUU
This 88-nucleotide microRNA precursor is filed under the name Pelodiscus sinensis (Chinese soft-shelled turtle). Its description in RNAcentral is "miRNA (ENSPSIG00000019847.1)". The record is from RNAcentral. Lineage: Eukaryota; Metazoa; Chordata; Testudines; Trionychidae.